Molecule: ribosomal RNA, 268 nt
Filed under: uncultured Ruminococcus sp.
Lineage: Bacteria; Bacillati; Bacillota; Clostridia; Eubacteriales; Oscillospiraceae
Description: partial 16S ribosomal RNA
Rfam family: Bacterial small subunit ribosomal RNA
Source: RNAcentral
AAAAGCUUUGCUUUUCUCGAGUUAGUGGCGGACGGGUGAGUAACACGUGAGCAACCUGCCUUUGAGAGGGGGAUAGCUUCUGGAAACGGAUGGUAAUACCCCAUAACAUACAUUUAAGGCAUCUUAGAUGUAUCAAAUGAAAUUCGCUCAAAGAUGGGCUCGCGUCUGAUUAGAUAGUUGGUGAGGUAACGGCUCACCAAGUCGACGAUCAGUAGCCGGACUGAGAGGUUGAACGGCCACAUUGGGACUGAGACACGGCCCAGACUCC